RNAcentral lists this ribosomal RNA (185 nucleotides) under Geotrichum bryndzae. RNAcentral describes it as "partial 18S ribosomal RNA". It matches the Rfam family "Eukaryotic small subunit ribosomal RNA", at positions 1651 to 1831 of the family's 1831-position model. The record is from RNAcentral. Lineage: Eukaryota; Fungi; Ascomycota; Dipodascomycetes; Dipodascales; Dipodascaceae.
CCCUGCCCUUUGUACACACCGCCCGUCGCUACUACCGAUUGAAUGGCUUAGUGAGGCUUCCGGAUUGAUUAACUGGAGAGGGCAACUUUUCUGGUUGAACGAGAAGCUAGUCAAACUUGGUCAUUUAGAGGAAGUAAAAGUCGUAACAAGGUUUCCAGUAGGUGACACCUGCGGAAGGAUCAUUA